RNAcentral lists this ribosomal RNA (468 nucleotides) under uncultured bacterium. Its description in RNAcentral is "partial 16S ribosomal RNA". It matches the Rfam family "Bacterial small subunit ribosomal RNA", at positions 28 to 507 of the family's 1533-position model. The record is from RNAcentral.
GACGAACGCUGGCGGCGUGCUUAACACAUGCAAGUCGAACGGAAAGGCCCUGCUUUUGUGGGGUGCUCGAGUGGCGAACGGGUGAGUAACACGUGAGUAACCUGCCCUUGACUUUGGGAUAACUUCAGGAAACUGGGGCUAAUACCGGAUAGGAGCUCCUGCUGCAUGGUGGGGGUUGGAAAGUUUCGGCGGUUGGGGAUGGACUCGCGGCUUAUCAGCUUGUUGGUGGGGUAGUGGCUUACCAAGGCUUUGACGGGUAGCCGGCCUGAGAGGGUGACCGGCCACAUGGGGACUGAGAUACGGCCCAGACUCCUACGGGAGGCAGCGGUGGGAAAUAUUGCACAAUGGGCGGAAGCCUGAUGCAGCAACGCCGCGUGCGGGAUGACGGCCUUCGGGUUGUAAACCGCUUUCGCCUGUGACGAAGCGUGAGUGACGGUAAUGGGUAAAGAAGCACCGGCUAACUACGUG